AUGGCAUGAGGGAAGGUUGCUGUCCAGACUCAUGGCCUCUCUUUCCAGCUGUUCCACUACGUUGGAGGAUUCCAUAAGGGAAUCACUCGUCUUGGAACGGAAGAGCUGCUCCACGUGCUGCAGGAGAGUGAACAGCUCAUCGCAUGGCCGUGCACACUGGCAUUCCUCACAGAGCGAGAAGCUGAUGACCCUCUUCACUACGUAUCCUGCCAGGUGGUAGAGGACACAAGACUCGGUCUUUGUGAGGUCAGGUGGUGAUGGGUCUACCAGCUGCUCCACUCUCACAACCUCAGAAGCACUGCAGUUGCUGUUCUUGUUGUCCAAGAAGUCCGCCAAGUGGUCUGAUGCAUCAUCCAGAUCUUCCUGGAUCUCCAGGAUCGUUGUUGUGGCCAU
Long non-coding RNA from Fundulus heteroclitus (mummichog), 393 nucleotides. RefSeq lists it as uncharacterized. The record is from RefSeq and is a predicted model, not a curated record. Lineage: Eukaryota; Metazoa; Chordata; Actinopteri; Cyprinodontiformes; Fundulidae. The transcript has 3 exons.